GACGAACGCUGGCGGCGUGCUUAACACAUGCAGGUCGAACGGAAAGGCCCUGCUUUUGUGGGGUGCUCGAGUGGCGAACGGGUGAGUAACACGUGAGUAACCUGCCCUUGACUUUGGGAUAACUUCAGGAAACUGGGGCUAAUACCGGAUAGGAGCUCCUGCUGCAUGGUGGGGGUUGGAAAGUUUCGGCGGUUGGGGAUGGACUCGCGGCUUAUCAGCUUGUUGGUGGGGUAGUGGCUUACCAAGGCUUUGACGGGUAGCCGGCCUGAGAGGGUGACCGGCCACAUUGGGACUGAGAUACGGCCCAGACUCCUACGGGAGGCAGCAGUGGGGAAUAUUGCACAAUGGGCGGAAGCCUGAUGCAGCAACGCCGCGUGCGGGAUGACGGCCUUCGGGUUGUAAACCGCUUUCGCCUGUGACGAAGCGUGAGUGACGGUAAUGGGUAAAGAAGCACCGGCUAACUACAUG
This 468-nucleotide ribosomal RNA is filed under the name uncultured bacterium. RNAcentral describes it as "partial 16S ribosomal RNA". It matches the Rfam family "Bacterial small subunit ribosomal RNA", at positions 28 to 507 of the family's 1533-position model. The record is from RNAcentral.